GAGCCCACGAUUGAAAGCUGGCGUCUUCGGCGUCCGCAUUGUAAUCUCAAGAAGUGUUUUCCGCUUCGGACCAUGCCUAAGUCCCUUGGAAAAGGGCAUCAUAGAGGGUGAUAAUCCCGUACAUGGCAUGGAGCGCCCGAAGCUUUGUGAUACGCUUUCUAAGAGUCGAGUUGUUUGGGAAUGCAGCUCAAAAUGGGUGGUAAAUGCCAUCUAAGGCUAAAUAUUGGGGAGAGACCGAUAGCGAACAAGUACAGUGAUGGAAAGAUGAAAAGAACUUUGAAAAGAGAGUUAAACAGUACGUGAAAUUGCCAAAAGGGAAGGGUAGGAGGUCAGAGAUGCGGCCUGGGAUUCAGCCUUGCUUUUGCUUGGUGUUUUUCCUGCGUUGCAGGCCAACGUCGGUUUUGGGCACUGGAGAAGGGUAGGAGGAACGUGGCACCUCUCGGGGUGUGUUAUAGCCUCCUACUGGAUACAGCGACCGAGACCGAGGAACGCAGCGUACUCGUAAGAGCGGGCCUUUUGGCACCUUUACGCUUAGGGCGUUGGCAUAAUGGCCCUCUACCACCCGUCUUGA
This 571-nucleotide ribosomal RNA is filed under the name uncultured Pseudozyma. Its description in RNAcentral is "eukaryotic LSU rRNA". It matches the Rfam family "Eukaryotic large subunit ribosomal RNA", at positions 104 to 657 of the family's 3401-position model. Lineage: Eukaryota; Fungi; Basidiomycota; Ustilaginomycetes; Ustilaginales; Ustilaginaceae. The record is from RNAcentral.